ACGAGUGGCGAACGGGUGAGUAACACGUGGGUGAUCUGCCCUGCACUUCGGGAUAAGCCCGGGAAACUGGGUCUAAUACCGGAUAGUACUGCGCGGUGCAUGCCGUGUGGUGGAAAGACUUAUCGGUGCAGGAUGGGCCCGCGGCUUAUCAGCUUGUUGGUGGGGUAAUGGCCUACCAAGGCGACGACGGGUAGCCGGCCUGAGAGGGCGACCGGCCACACUGGGACUGAGACACGGCCCAGACUCGUACGGGAGGCAGCAGUGGGGAAUAUUGCACAAUGGGCGCAAGCCUGAUGCAGCGACGCCGCGUGAGGGAUGACGGCCUUCGGGUUGUAAACCUCUUUCAGCAGGGACGAAGCGCAAGUGACGGUACCUGCAGAAGAAGCACCGGCCAACUACGUGCCAGACAGCCGCGGUAAUACGUAGGGUGCAAGCGUUGUCCGGAAUUACUGGGCGUAAAGAGCUCGUAGGCGGUUUGUCGCGUCGUCUGUGAAAACCAGCAGCUCAACUGUUGGCUUGCAGGCGAUACGGGCAGACUUGAGUAUUUCAGGGGAGACUGGAAUUCCUGGUGUAGCGGUGAAAUGCGCAGAUAUCAGGAGGAACACCGGUGGCGAAGGCGGGUCUCGUGGGAAAUAACUGACGCUGAGGAGCGAAAGCGUGGGUAGCGAACAGGAUUAGAUACCGUGGUAGUCCACCCCAGCUAAACGGUGGGCGCUAGGUGUGGGUUUCCUUCCACGGGAUCCGUGCCGUAGCUAACGCAUUAAGCGCCCCGCCUGGGGAGUACGCCGCAAGGCUAAACCUCAAAGGAAUUGACGGGGGCCCGCACAAGCGGCGGAGCAUGUGGAUUAAUUCGAUGCAACGCGAAGAACCUUACCUGGGUUUGACAUACACCGGAAAGCCGUAKAGAUACGGCCCCCUUGUGGUCGGUGUACAGGUGGUGCAUGGCUGUCUUCANCUCUUGUCUUGAGAUGUUGGGUUAAGUCCCGCAACGAGCGCAACCCUUGUCCCGUGUUGCCAGCGGAUUAUGCCGGGGACUCACAGGAGACUGCCGGGGUCAACUCAGAGUGGAAGGUGGGGACGAUCUCAAGUCAUCAUGCCCCUUAGGUCUAAGGCUUCACACAUGCUACAAUGGCCGGUACAGACGCGCUGCGAUACCGUGACGUGGAGCGAAUCCCUUAAAGCCGGUCUCAGUUCGGAUCGGGGUCUGCAACUCGACCCCGUGAAGUCCGAGUCGCUAGUAAUCGCAAUCAGCAACGCUGCGGUUAAUACGUUCCCGGGCCUUGUACACACCGCCCGUCACGUCAUGAAAGUCGGUAACACCCGAAGCCGGUGGC
This 1334-nucleotide ribosomal RNA is filed under the name Nocardia sp. 86349. RNAcentral's name for it is "16S ribosomal RNA". It matches the Rfam family "Bacterial small subunit ribosomal RNA", at positions 91 to 1434 of the family's 1533-position model. Lineage: Bacteria; Bacillati; Actinomycetota; Actinomycetes; Mycobacteriales; Nocardiaceae. The record is from RNAcentral.